GGAAGACUCUGUGAAGCUGUGUGGGCAGCUGGGGCCAGGCUGCUGGGCUUCCUGGGUCCCAGGGGGUGGGGAGCUGUGGGCUGUGCUGGGCUCUGUGGUUCCCGCACCCUGCCACUGGCAGCCUGCUGCAGUUCCUUUCAGAAUUAUUUUUCUUUCCAGACUUAAACAAGGUCCACCCAGUGUCUGAGACAUGGUUUGCUGCUCCUAUGAAGGCUCCUGGCCAAGGCAGCUCCCAGAUAGGGUGGCUGCCUGCGUCUCCUCUUAGCAGAGGCCCUUGCCAUUUGGCUGGUGUGUGGGGUGCCCAUGCAUGUGACUGCGGGGGCGGGGCUCAGCCAUCGCUCUUCCCACAGCCAGGAUCCAGGCCCCGAGAUCUAACCCAGGCUGCUGCCAAAGGUCAGUGGGCUUCAUGCUUUGUCCAACUCACGGCUGGCAGGAAGCCGCCCGCCCAGGCCAGCCUCUCUCUGGCCUCUGCUCCUGCAGUCUCCAAAGGGCUUCUAGUGACCCCAAAUCACCAAGAGCCAGGAAGCCUCUGUGGGAAAGACUGUCUGUUCCACCUUCUUCCUGCUACAUUCUGCUUUGCUCUGGACCUACAGAAGUUCCCUCAACUCCUGGUGCCCACAGGAAUGAUACCUGCAGGUGGCUGCCUUGCAGAGCUCACAGAGAGGAAGAGAUUCAUUCUGGCUAGAACUGAAUAGACACCCGGGAUAUCAAGCCACGCUCUUCACAGUGGACCAGAACACCUCCUACCUUUUGAUUAAGGCACCAGGAUGUUAAAAUGGCACUGCAGAGCUGAGAGCUUUGUCUUCAAACAAACAAAGAAACAAACAAACAGAACCGAGUCUUGCUUUCCCAUAGGAAGAGUUUUUUUCUUUCUUCUAGACAGGGUAAAUUGCAACAGACUCCAGGCUCUUGUCUGGAUUCUGCCUCUGUGAGCAACCAUACUAGGGCCUAGUGAGCUCCUCUCGGGACCGGCUCCUCACUGAGCUGUGGCUGUUGAGGCCGAAGGGUGUGUCAAGACGAGGCAGGUGCUCUGCAGGGGAGCCCCAGGUAAAGGCCUAGGUGACCGGUGAGGCAGAAGGGCAAAGCACCUGGGAGCAGAGCACUGUCUGCGUGUCUGUCCAGGGCACUCCAUCUGACUUCCAAGACUAUCUGGCUGUUACAGUCAGCUCCUCCUACAGGCGGUGAAUUUUCUACUGUUUGAUGUUCCAGCCUAGUCCACUCUGUGCCAAGCAAAAGCACAGACAUCCUUUGUCAAGGCGCACGCUCCAGAUGUAGGUUGAAAAGAUUUGGGCCCUCAACUCUCAGUGUGAGGGGUGGGCUGGGGGACAGGACGGGGAGCACUAGCUUAGGCACUCUAUGUGGCCUCCCUGACUCUUCUCCCCAGCAGUUCGAGGGUGGGGAUCUCUCCUCAGUCCUAGGAGUUGACUUGUCCAAAGCUACAAACAGGAAAGCUGGAAAAGGUGGCCUCUCUGCCUAAGAAGUCACAUCAAAUGGGAGGGUGCCAGGAUUGAGGCCCCUGCACCACGAGCCAGUGCUUAAGGUGGGGUCCCAAGGCCAGGAGUGCUCCCUGACCUCAAGGACAUCUAGAGGACUACGUCCUCACUGCAUGAAUGCUCAGCUGCCAUCUCGAGAAUGAGGCAGCUGCGUUCAAAUCCCCGUGCUAUUGAUUCUCAGCUGGGUGGCCUCAGGCCAGUUACGGAACUUCUCCGAGCCUCAGCUUCCUCUUCUGUAAGAUAACCCCCAGCUCCCUGAGUCUGUGCAAGGGGUCACUGAGCCUGGUGUAAAAGAUGUGCACAGGUGGGCUGGCCACAUGCAAGGAUGAGUGCUGGGUGUUAGCAGAGGUCUCCUGCGUGGUCUCUGACUUCCUGACAUCUCUAUGGACACCAAGAGCAGCCAGGGACAAGAGACAGCUGGGGAGCAGUGGCAGGCAGAGUUUGCCCUAGGUGUGGUGGAGGGAGGAUUUCCUGGCCUGGCCCAAGCGGCCGUCAGUUUCUAAAGGAGAAACCGGCCAUGUGAGGUUGAGGUGGGGCUCAGAUGGGCACCAGAGCUCCCUCCCCUGAUGUUGGGAGGAGGGUUAUGCAUGGGGAGGAUUCUGAGGCCCCAGAGACACUGCUGUUUUCCAGCCAACCUGCUGUGUUCUACACAGUUGUAUUUGUAACUCUGGUUUCUUGUGAAAGUCCCUCUUGACUGUGCUCUGCCUGGUAUAGCCAGGUGGGCUGUGCCAAUGGGAGACUUCAUCCUGGAGGGUGCCACGUGGUCUCUUAGCCUGACACAGGGAGCCCUAAAACAACACAUUUUUCUGAGUCUAACAGGGCCAACAUUCAAUGGUGACUACAGGAGGACCCAGGCCUGUACUCCGGGCCUUACAUAGCAAUUUUACCUGUGAACUUCACUGGCUUGAGAACUGCCUAGGGAAUUGUUUCCAAGUUCCCAUGGAAGGUACUAGAAGCGUGUCUGGAUUCCCAGUGUCCAGCGGAACCUGGUUCUCAGUGAUGCUGGCCCCAUGGAACUGGACGACCUUGGUCCCGACCUGCUCCAUCUUCAGGAGGCUCCUACUUGUCUACGGACUUGCAAACCCUGGCAAGCCCAUUUGUGGUUUGCUAAUGGGCUCACCUCUCUCCUGCAAGGUCCACAUGUUCUGGCCUAAAGAGAGUCUGUGACCCACGCUCUCCUCCUGAUUCUCCACUCACAGGUGUGGCUAUGGUGAGGGCAAACACCAAAAGAUAGUGUUUGCUCUUGAGAAGGGACGCAUUCCGACCAAGUUGGCUAGUAAGUGAUUUUCUGCAAAGUAGAAUAAUUGGUUGAAUGUUCCCAUGGCAACAGAGCCUUUCCUGGAAACCACUGGAGGGAGAGGAAGGCUGUGGUUCUGCCUGGUACUGCAGGGCCCUGGGUAGGGCCAGCAGAGAUGGUGAUGCUGCUCGGCAUCCGGCUUCCUCUGUGCACAGCCUCGCCUGGCCCUCCGGCUGCUCUCUGCCUGCCUCCCUGGGCCUUAGGCACAUUUCCAUGCCACUGCCCUGCAAGAGCACUUGAGCAGGUGCUCACCGUUCCCAGAAUUGUCCCAUUUCCUCAUGUUUAAGUGUGGGUUUUAAGAAUGGCACUAUCUAGGCAGGGCAUGCAUGAAUGAUUCACCCAGCGCUUUUGUAGGCACUGCUGUGGGGUUCUCAAAAAUGGCCUUGGAAGGCUAUGCUAUUCACAACCCACUUCCCAGAUGGCCAUGAGGCUGGCACUGAGGACGUGACUGGGAGCACAAAGAGGCCAGAGGUGUGGCCAGCUGCCGGGCAGGGUCGGCCCAAACACUCUUCAGCACGGGCGUUCUCUUCACCCUGUUGGGAGGCAGAGAUGGGAGGGGACCUUCCCUUACCCACCCUUCCCUGCGCCUGGAAUCCCAGAAACAGCAACCUCCUGGCUGUGGAGGGCAGGUAGAGUGGGCGUGCUGCUGCCUCUUCCUGUGGGAUUCCUUGCACCGGCCUCCCUCUCUGGGUGCCUGGAAUCAAGGUGGAAGGAUAGAGAAGGACAGUGCCCCUGCAUCUCAUAGCUGGUCUUGGAGCAGGAAAAGCACCAGAAUCUACUGGGCGAGAGGCUCCACUGUGUGAGCAUGUUGAUGUAGCUGAGUGUGCAUGUCAGUGCGGGACAGAGCCUGUGUUUAUGUAUAAAUACAGGAGUGUGCGGGGGUGUGGGAAAAUGUGUUUGUGUGUGUAAAUGUUUGUGUGCAUGUGCACUGCAUUAUGAGAGUGUGUGCACACGUGUGUGAAGGCAUGCAUGCAGACCUGUGUCAGCAUAAAAGAGUGUGGGGUAUGUGUUUACGUGUGAAUGCAUGUGUGUGUGUGAAAAUACACACGUGUG
This is an RNA transcript of Chinchilla lanigera (long-tailed chinchilla), 3843 nucleotides long. RefSeq lists it as uncharacterized. The transcript is spliced from 4 exons. The record is from RefSeq and is a predicted model, not a curated record. Lineage: Eukaryota; Metazoa; Chordata; Mammalia; Rodentia; Chinchillidae.